This 1060-nucleotide ribosomal RNA is filed under the name uncultured bacterium. Its description in RNAcentral is "bacterial SSU rRNA". It matches the Rfam family "Bacterial small subunit ribosomal RNA", at positions 63 to 1111 of the family's 1533-position model. The record is from RNAcentral.
CGAACGGAAACGCGAAGAGCUUGCUCUUUGGCGUCGAGUGGCGGACGGGUGAGUAACGCGUGGGAAUCUACCCAGUAGUGGAGGACAGCCAGGAGAAAUCCUGAUUAAUACUGCAUACGAUCUACGGAUGAAAGAUGGCCUCUAUUUAUAAGCUAUCGCUACUGGAUGAGCCCGCGUUAGAUUAGCUAGUUGGUGGGGUAAGAGCCUACCAAGGCGACGAUCUAUAGCUGGUCUGAGAGGACGACCAGCCACAUCGGGACUGAGACACGGCCCGGACUCCUACGGGAGGCAGCAGUGGGGAAUAUUGGACAAUGGGCGCAAGCCUGAUCCAGCAAUGCCGCGUGUGUGAAGAAGGCCUUAGGGUUGUAAAGCACUUUCAAUUGUGAAGAAGAGUAUAAGAAUAAUACUCUUGUACUUUGACGUUAACUUUAGAAGAAGCACCGGCUAACUCUGUGCCAGCAGCCGCGGUAAUACAGAGGGUGCAAGCGUUAAUCGGAAUUACUGGGCGUAAAGCGCGCGUAGGCGGUUAUUUAAGUCAGAUGUGAAAUCCCAGGGCUCAACCUUGGAACUGCAUCUGAUACUGGGUAACUAGAGUUUGGGAGAGGGAAGUAGAAUUUCAGGUGUAGCGGUGAAAUGCAUAGAGAUCUGAAGGAAUACCAGUGGCGAAGGCGACUUCCUGGCCUAAAACUGACGCUGAGGUGCGAAAGCGUGGGUAGCAAACGGGAUUAGAUACCCCGGUAGUCCACGCCGUAAACGAUGUCAACUAGUCGUUGGUUCCCUUGAGGGAUCAGUGACGCAGCUAACGCAUUAAGUUGACCGCCUGGGGAGUACGGUCGCAAGACUAAAACUCAAAGGAAUUGACGGGGGCCCGCACAAGCGGUGGAGCAUGUGGUUUAAUUCGAUGCAACGCGAAGAACCUUACCAUCCCUUGACAUCCCGGAGAAUUUGCAAGAGAUUGCUUAGUGCCUUCGGGAACUCCGUGACAGGUGCUGCACGGCUGUCGUCAGCUCGUGUCGUGAGAUGUUGGGUUAAGUCCCGCAACGAGCGCAACCCCUAUCCU